Molecule: long non-coding RNA, 655 nt
Filed under: Ficedula albicollis (Collared flycatcher)
Lineage: Eukaryota; Metazoa; Chordata; Aves; Passeriformes; Muscicapidae
Description: lncRNA (ENSFALG00000028304.1)
Source: RNAcentral
UUCAACCCCUCACUACUUAAUCCACCCCCAGGUGCCAGCAAACAUCCCGAGCAGAGUUAGGCAAGGACUAUCCAUCACCAUGCUGGAAGUCUCAGAGUGGGCUUGGCAAUACCUGGGCCCUACAAAAAGAGCUAUGAAGGCAUUAGGACCAAAAAAAUCAUCUUAUUUGCUUAUUGAUUUCCAAUAAAAUCUAAUAAUUAGAAAAACAGUCCUGCUGACUUGUGUGUGCCGUGCGUACAAAGGAAGGAGGCAAAAUCCCUCAGGGGGUGACAGUGCUUCCACAGCAGCCCUGCAGUCCCUCAGGGCUGGCAGACAAGUGUCCCUGCAGUGGCAUUAGCCUGUGUCCCCCGGGAGAGAGCAGAGAGCAUCAGUGCCAGGAGCCUGGGGCAUCCCUGGGGCUGGGGAAGGGAUCCUGUGGGGUGGGGACUGGCACAGACGGACUGGCACAGACAGGAGUGUCACAGGAGUGUCACAGACAGGAUGUCACAGACAGGGCUGGCACAGACAGGAUGUCACAGACAGGAGUGUCACAGACAGGAGUGUCACAGACAGGAUGUCACAGACAGGGCUGGCACAGACAGGAUGUCACAGACAGGAGUGUCACAGACAGGAGUGUCACAGACAGGAUGUCACAGACAGGGCUGGCACAGACAGG